Nasonia vitripennis (jewel wasp) is the source of this 4089-nucleotide RNA transcript. It is a transcript of the gene named NF-kappa-B essential modulator, with no coding region annotated. The transcript is spliced from 8 exons. The record is from RefSeq and is a predicted model, not a curated record. NCBI's taxonomy places the organism in Eukaryota, Metazoa, Arthropoda, Insecta, Hymenoptera, Pteromalidae.
GUGUAGUCCGCUAGACGUCGGGAGGCGCAAAGAGAAAAGUGAGGUUACGAAAUCGCUACGCUAGCGCUCGUGCUCCGACGACGCCAGCUGUCACAUACACACAGACAGAAAGACAGACAGAGAAUCGAGAGUAUAGCGACAAUCAGCAACGUCCGCUAAUUCAGUCCGCACCAGCUGGCAAAAGUCAUCGUGUGCAGUGUUUUCUUUUUUUCUCCUCUUGUGUGCAAAAUCUUCUAUCGACCGAUCGACUGAGCGAGCAACACACCAUCGAGCUAACCUCCGAUCAACGCUGUUACGUUACGAUUUCAGAAAAAUGCCAGACCGUCAGCGCUGCUGCAGCAGCAGAGGCUAGAGAGUAAGAUCGACGAUGGCUCGUCACGGAGAUGAGCGAGCGUUGCACAGCUUGCCGGUGAUGCCUCUGACGCAGGCGUCGAUCAACAACCACAACAACAGCAGCGAAAGCGGCGCCUCGUCGCCGGUGACCUCGCCUCUCUCGCCGACGGAUUCCUCGAGGAUACCCAGACCGUCGCCCACGGCGCUGAGGCGAUCGUCGAGUCUCAGGCUGAGAGGCGAGAGGUCGUCGUACCUGCACUCGCAGAACCUUCACAGGAGCCAGCAGCAUCACGAUCUGUUUCCGGUAAUCACCGAGAACGGCACACCCACCAGAUGCUCAUCCAGCCUGUCGCUGACGCCGUCGCGGGGCCGAACGACGCGUCCUCGGGCGAGUCCGAGCAGCACUAGUCUCAGUCAUCACCAGCAUGGAGCUUGCAGCGAGGACUGCAGCGACGUCGAGAGCGUCAAGAGCUUCGGCAGUAACUACAGCACGGCCAGCGCUUGCGACCACGCGAGCUUCGCCCUCAACGGUACCACAUGGUCGGGCAGGUCCAGGAGGUACGUCGUGCACUGCUCGACCCACACGGCGGACAACGACGAGUACCUCACGCCGACACAGAGGGCCGCCAAACAAGUGCGCAAGUUUCAGGCCCUGCUGAGGGAGGCCAGAAAGGAGAUCGAGGAAAAGGAGCGCGAGAUCUUCCGCCUGACGAAAGAAGUCGUCGAGCUGCGCCUCUACAAAGCCUCCCUGAACAGUCCCGACGAGAAAACCGACAGCAGCGAAGCCGCGACGGUGCGGGAGAACAACCCCUUCUCCCCGGAGUCGCCCUGCAAGGAGCUACCAGCCGAAAGCUCCUUCGUUGAAAGCACGCUCACGAGUCCACGGACGCCCGAGAAGAAGGAGUCCUCCCUCGUGGACUCGGGACACUUCGAGGAUGGCUCGGUACACUCCAAGGAGUCCGUCGGCGCGGUGGCCAUCGAAAGCGCAAACCUCAUCAACGAGAGCUGCAUCUCGACGGCGAGCAGUAGCCUCCUCGCGACGCCUCACGACGAGAGCCACAAUUUGCUGGAGCUUUCGGAGACGGAUCAUGCGGAGGAGAGACUCGAAAGCUCCUUCCAGGACGAGGAGAGGAAGAGGAUCGUAGAUCACUAUGAGAACAGGAUCGAGGAGAUGCACAGGAGGCACGUGGACGAGAUCCAGCUGCUCAAGCAAAAUCACAACGACAAGGUCGAGAGCCUGCUGAAUCAGCUGUCCGAAGUAAGUACGCGCUAUUGCGAAACUCGCCCGUCCCUAAAUGCAGCAGAGACUCGAACCAAAGAGCUGGAGACCGAGGUCGAGGCGCUGAGAAGCGAGCUCGCCGAGCAGAAGGCCAUGCUGGCCGACCAAGAGGAGCGCAACAAACAAAUGUACCUGAAAAUGUAUUCCAAGGGUCAGGAGGCUGCGAGAAUCGAGCACGCUGAUCAGGUAGUUGUUCUCGAGCAAGCGCAGAAAAACCCUACGAAAGUUUCAGUAGCCGAGCUUCUUCAGCAAUUAACUGUCACGCAAGCCGAAUUAGAAAACGUCAAGCCAUUCCAGGAUUCAAGCUACUCGCCCGAACCUCUAGCUCUGGCCAAUCGUAGCCAAAGUUUAUUAAGCGUUCAGGAGGCUGUUUCUCUCUGGGUCCUUGGCACGCGUAAGGUAUUGUAUUCCUUACUCCACUGCCACGCGACUUUUCAAAAUUUAUUGGUCUGCAUUGUAUAGUGCGCAUGUCGGUGUCUUUAUUUUUUACUGUGAAUGUUCGUUUUAAAACUUUUUCCUCGUGUGGUUUAAGCAGCAUUUUUUCCGACUAUUUUUUCGUCAAUAGUUUAUGUUGUUUUUUACUAUUGCAAGUGUAACGUAGAUUGCGAAAGUAUUAGGCGAAAUGGGCAGCACAGGGCAAGGGAGGUGCACGUUGAUUAAGGACUUUGCACACACAUAAUAUUUACAGUCGCACUGACGUUCUUGAGAUCAAGUAAGUGAUGCAGUGGUAUUCUGCUAAAAAGCAGUAGCACACUUAGAAGAAACAGCCUCUUAACUCCUCGAUGGACCUUGGUGACGCUAAGCUUCAGCACAGAACUAGCUUAAUUUGGUGAUGUACCGGCGCAUCCUGGAAUCAAGAAACAGUCAGGGAGCUCUCGAUCCCGAAAUCACCCUGCAGUUCCUCAAGUCAGCAAUCUACUACUUCCUCACCGACAAAGAAAACCUUCACGGGCAUUUGAACGCUAUCGAGAGUAUCCUAGGCUUCACCGACUCAGAGAAGCUUAACAUCGACAGGAUAUAUCGUUCGGCUAGAAAGUAAUUACUGUGAAAAAAAUUUGCCUUUUAGCGGAGCGGAUUUGUAAAACAUAAGCGAUUGCAAGUGCUAUACUGCGUUUAUUUUUAUGGACAACAAAUUUUUAUUUCGUGGUGACAAGUGAUAGUAGGGUUGUUUUGAAUAGACAUAUCACGUCGAGUUAAGUACCAUGAAACUUUUAGCGUACAUUUUUUAAAUGCGCAAAACGCUUGAUUAAAAAUGUAUAGAUUUUUUGAUAGUUUACCGUUAUAUUAACUUUUAAUUUGGUUACGAUUCAUGUUGUACAGUGUUUUAUAAGAUAAACAGGAUUCAUGGUACUCAACUGACUCUCAAAGCGAUCAUAAGAUUAAAUAUUGAAAGCUGCUUUACCAAUGCAUACAUUGCCGAAACUUGGCAUUUUUAUCUAUAUUUAGAUAGCUUUUAAAAAUACUUAGCUAAAGUUUUGGGAUUCAUCGCCAAUACGCAUAAAUCUAAAAAUUAUCACAACUACAUUUUGAAUCUUGAAUUUUAUAAAACGACGCAUAAAGUAGGACUAGGAUUUAAUAAAUUUUCCAUGUUUAUAGAGUUUUUCUUGUAGUGAUUGCGAAUAAUACUUCAGUCUUAAUGUUACGUGAAUGUUUGUUUAAAUUAUUUUUUUUUUUGUUUUCUAAUUCAUAAAUGCGCAAUACUACUUAUUUAUAUUUGAAACGAAAUUAUAAAUGUGUAGUAUAUACUCCGUGGAAAAUUUACUUUCAAAGUUCGAUUCUAGACUUUUUCCACAAAUUCUUGAAUCCCUUAACAUAUAGAGAGGCAGAGUCAUAUGCACCGAAGAUUUUUAGAAUUAAAUUAUUAAUCUUACGUGUAAAUCUGGUGAUAUCGUGUCCAGAUGGGAUAACCAAGGAGACUGAUGGUAUAUCUUGCCUUUUGAAUUCGCUCGAUGUAGUACAUUAAGAUACCAAUGACAUUUUUAAACAAAUUCUGUCAAAAUACUUCUUUCAAAUUAUGCACGAUUUCUAAUACUCAAGAAGUCGUACUUUAAUUUUGUAAAAUCUGCAGUUAAUUUACUUUUAAUGUUCUGUAAACAAUAAUUAUUCCGCGCGAAUUCCGGAUUGUUUCCAUUUACAAUGACGUAAAGAAAUAUCUUUAAUUUUGAAUGUUCCCCUAUAAAGCGAGAGUUCCUGCCUUAUUGAUUUGAAUUUAUAUUCAAAUCGAAAAUGCAAUGCGUAAUUUAAAUGGUUCACAAACCUUUAUUACGAUUUUCGAGAGGUUUCACCCCUCUAUAUUUUGAGCUAUUAAUAAGAAAAGGAGUGAUUUUUUUGUAAGGAAUACCCAGAGAAGUGAAGGAGGAUAUCGAAUUCUACAAUUUAAAAAAUCUUUCAGCACAUAUAUCAUUUGAGUGUCACAAAGUUAACAGUUACAUACAUUUUAAAUGGGUAUAAUAAAAGUAUCACAUGACUCCUACAAA